This is a non-coding RNA of Nothobranchius furzeri (turquoise killifish), 846 nucleotides long. The record is from RefSeq and is a predicted model, not a curated record. Lineage: Eukaryota; Metazoa; Chordata; Actinopteri; Cyprinodontiformes; Nothobranchiidae.
UUUGGUGGUGUUUGGUAAAUCUGUCAUCUUUUCAUUCGGCCAUAAACCAAAACAUCCGAAGUAUAAAACUAUGCCCACAUCAUCUUUAACGCCAGUUCAAAGCGUUAUGGAGAGGUUGUCGGAGUGGCCAAUCAGUAACUUUCCUCUUCAUCCCAAAGAACCAACGACAAGCUGGAUAAACCUGUUGCUGUUCCACCUGCUGCAACGGUUCCUUUCAGAAUAAAAGCUGAACCAUCAAGACCCAGUGUCACGGUCCGUGGUGAGCCUCCUGCAUGUAACCUGUUUUCUCUGAGUAUUGUUUCAGGUGGGCGUGUCUGAGAGCCACCAGCUGCAGCUGAUCUCAUCAUCAAGGCCCAGGGGAUUUAAGGAGCAGUGUGACACUUCACCACGCCGGAUGAUUGCUCAGUUUUGGGUAGCUCUAGCCUCUGACCCGUUUUUGAUCUUGUGUUUCUCUAGUUCCAGUCUGUGUACCAGAUCUUGUAUAUUAAUUGCUGGAUUUCCUGUCGACCAGAAAAGACCCUGACUACUCUUCCCUGCUCUACUCCAGGUUUCACUCCACACUCCACCACCUCCACACCAGCUCGGAUUCCUGCACUUCAGAUCACGCUGUCUCCUCCCCUGGCUGCCCGCUCUCAGCCGCUUACCUGCCCUCGCCAAGCCUCCGCUCCUACCUCCUCUCUGGUUCAACAGUUCCUUCUCCUCCUGGAGCCUUCCUGCUCACCCGGACCUGACCUAGCCCUUCCUGAGGCCCUCACCACUAUCAAAUCCUCUCCUGGAGUCUUUCUGCCAGCCUGCACGUCGUCUGUUCCCGUUCCUCUCAUUAAAUAAUAAAGAACGUUCUACUUA